GUCUGUGCUCAUCAAUGGAAAAGGAAAGCGAGCGCCGUUUUAUGAUGAGACGUCUAAUGAGACAGUGUAUACUGCUAGGGAAAUCUUUCACGUCAAACAGGGUUUUAGAUACCGCUUUCGGAUCGCCAGUAAUGCGAUCACCAAUGCCCCGUUGAAAGUCAGCGUAGAUGGUCAUAAUCUAACCAUCAUUGCAAGCGAAGGAGGCGACAUCGAACCCGUUGAUGUGGACGCGUUCGUCAUCUAUGGAGGUGAACGGUUCGACUUUGUUCUCAAUGCUAACCAAACCAUCGGCAACUACUGG
Strongylocentrotus purpuratus (purple sea urchin) is the source of this 301-nucleotide long non-coding RNA. RefSeq lists it as uncharacterized. The record is from RefSeq and is a predicted model, not a curated record. Lineage: Eukaryota; Metazoa; Echinodermata; Echinoidea; Camarodonta; Strongylocentrotidae. The transcript has 3 exons.